This 210-nucleotide unclassified non-coding RNA is filed under the name Hevea brasiliensis (rubber tree). Lineage: Eukaryota; Viridiplantae; Streptophyta; Magnoliopsida; Malpighiales; Euphorbiaceae. The record is from RNAcentral.
AAUCUGUAAUGGAAUGAGAGAGGGAGAUAUUAUUGAAUGAAUUGGAUGGUAAACGUAUUAUCUACAACGUGAAAAAUGUCUAGAAAAGUCGCUACUUGGGCCACUUGGGGACUGAACUUUGAAGUUGUCACGUGUCAGUUUUGCACUUGCAACCAAGGAAAUCAGACUAAAGCAAAGAAGGGGAAAGGAAAUUUUAAAUGGUCAUUUGAG